UCCCGCUUCGUCUAAUGGUAGGACAGCGCCCUUUGAAGGCGUGAAUCGUGGUUUCGAAUCCAUGAGCGGGAACCA
This 75-nucleotide transfer RNA is filed under the name Mesorhizobium sp. M2D.F.Ca.ET.171.01.1.1. Its description in RNAcentral is "tRNA-Gln". It matches the Rfam family "tRNA". Rfam says of the family: Transfer RNA (tRNA) molecules are approximately 80 nucleotides in length. Their secondary structure includes four short double-helical elements and three loops (D, anti-codon, and T loops). Further hydrogen bonds mediate the characteristic L-shaped molecular structure. tRNAs have two regions of fundamental functional importance: the anti-codon, which is responsible for specific mRNA codon recognition, and the 3' end, to which the tRNAs corresponding amino acid is attached (by aminoacyl-tRNA synthetases). tRNAs cope with the degeneracy of the genetic code in two manners: having more than one tRNA (with a specific anti-codon) for a particular amino acid; and 'wobble' base-pairing, i.e. permitting non-standard base-pairing at the 3rd anti-codon position. RNAcentral also lists the same sequence under 1 other name. The record is from RNAcentral. Lineage: Bacteria; Pseudomonadati; Pseudomonadota; Alphaproteobacteria; Hyphomicrobiales; Phyllobacteriaceae.